RNAcentral lists this ribosomal RNA (494 nucleotides) under Escherichia coli. Its description in RNAcentral is "partial 23S ribosomal RNA". It matches the Rfam family "Bacterial large subunit ribosomal RNA", at positions 1292 to 1786 of the family's 2925-position model. The record is from RNAcentral. Lineage: Bacteria; Pseudomonadati; Pseudomonadota; Gammaproteobacteria; Enterobacterales; Enterobacteriaceae.
GAAUGCUGACAUAAGUAACGAUAAAGCGGGUGAAAAGCCCGCUCGCCGGAAGACCAAGGGUUCCUGUCCAACGUUAAUCGGGGCAGGGUGAGUCGACCCCUAAGGCGAGGCCGAAAGGCGUAGUCGAUGGGAAACAGGUUAAUAUUCCUGUACUUGGUGUUACUGCGAAGGGGGGACGGAGAAGGCUAUGUUGGCCGGGCGACGGUUGUCCCGGUUUAAGCGUGUAGGCUGGUUUUCCAGGCAAAUCCGGAAAAUCAAGGCUGAGGCGUGAUGACGAGGCACUACGGUGCUGAAGCGACAAAUGCCCUGCUUCCAGGAAAAGCCUCUAAGCAUCAGGUAACAUCAAAUCGUACCCCAAACCGACACAGGUGGUCAGGUAGAGAAUACCAAGGCGCUUGAGAGAACUCGGGUGAAGGAACUAGGCAAAAUGGUGCCGUAACUUCGGGAGAAGGCACGCUGAUAUGUAGGUGAAGCGACUUGCUCGUGGAGCUGAA